This is a non-coding RNA of Lactuca sativa (garden lettuce), 566 nucleotides long. NCBI's taxonomy places the organism in Eukaryota, Viridiplantae, Streptophyta, Magnoliopsida, Asterales, Asteraceae. The record is from RefSeq and is a predicted model, not a curated record.
GUAUGUUUGACAAAGGAUGGUUUAUCUUCAUUGGGUAUAAGUAAUUUGCACAAUAGUAUUUCGUCUUUGGGAGAUGGAAAACACUUGAAAUCUGAUGAUUUCAAGACCAUGUUGCUUUGCUCAAAGGUUGCACCUCAAUAUCAUCGUGUGACUGAUUUACUGCCAAUUUACCAAGUAAAUACACUCCCAGGUCGUUUCUUUAAGGAACACGCAACAUUUUUUUUUUGUUUCAAACGACCUGGAAGUAACAGCCUGUCCAUCGAUCACCACAAUUUCAAAGUUCAACACACUUGGUGUUCCUGUUGGUGAACAUGAGGCACUUCUACUUCUCAAGGCUUCUCUCACCUCAACAUCAGCUUUAACUGAUUUAUUCAAUGCUUUUCGGAAGGAACCAAAUUAAAGGAAAGCCAACGACUUGAAGCCCUAAGAGAAGUCUGAUCUAUAGUUUUUGUGUCUGUUUACAUGCUUUUCUGAUGUUACAACUUGCUUUGCUCUUCUUUGUUAACUUUUGCCUCUCUGUUUGAUGGUCACAAGCACUACUAAUUAAUAUUGUAGACUUUUUCUUA